CUGGUCUUCAGAAGUCAACACCAGAAAAAAAGGAAACAGUAAACUUUGAGAAAGGAAUCUCUCCCAGUAAUCUCUGUCUACAAAAGAAGAAUACUCAAAAUAUGCAUCUAAACCAGUCUCCUGAAAUGACUGUUAAAAAAUUAAUGAUUGGAAAGAAAAGUUUCUCACCAGUUCUAACUACUUCAUAUUUGGUAAGAAUAUUAAAGUUACUUUACAGUUAUUUUAACUGACGUUAUUCCAUUCAGCUGCUACAUGUCUUAAUGCUUUUGUAGAUCUCAUUUCAAUAAUGUUUUUUUUUUAUUUGUUAAUGUGUAGCUCAACUUAACUUCAGUAACCCCACAGAAAACAUACUGUGGAAAAAACACAGAGGGAUCUGUAUCUGAAACAUGUGAUGCUGAUGAAAAUUUAAGUUUUAGACAUGGCUUUUCAGACAAAAUUUCUAUCGAAGGAAAACAAGACAGUACUAAACCUGUCAUAAAAAAGAAAGGAGAGGAAUUAUCUUCAGUAUCUGUGUCCAGUGGAAGUGGAGUACAGUCUUGGAGUCAAGAACCUUACAGCCCUGCACAUGAAUCAGCAUACGAAAAUUUGUCCACUGUAUCUGUAAGUGAUCCAGCUGCUUUGGAUGUGGACAUCUGGGAACCUGGUUGUUCAACUAUUGAUAUAUGUCAGAAGCUCCGAAAAGAAUACACUAAGAAAAUUGAGAGCCGUUCACGGAAAAUGGAGCAUUUUGCAAAGCAGUCAUUAAGAACUGCCAACCAGC
This 760-nucleotide long non-coding RNA is filed under the name Chrysolophus pictus (golden pheasant). RNAcentral describes it as "lncRNA (ENSCPIG00010005978.1)". The record is from RNAcentral. Lineage: Eukaryota; Metazoa; Chordata; Aves; Galliformes; Phasianidae.